CCUACGGGAGGCAGCAGGGGGGAAUAGUGCACAAUGGGGGAAACCCUGAUGCAGCGACGCCGCGUGAGUGAAGAAGUAGUUCGGUAUGGAAAGCUCUAUCAGCAGGGAAGAAAAUGACGGUACCUGAGUAAGAAGCCCCGGCUAACGACGUGCCAGCAGCCGCGGUAAUACGUAGGGGGCAAGCGUUAUCCGGAUUUACUGGGUGUAAAGGGAGCGUAGACGGCAGCACAAGUCUGGAGUGACAUGCCGGGGCUUAACCCCGGAACUGCUUUGGAAACUGUGCAGCGAGAGUGCAGGAGAGGUCAGUUGAAUUCCUAGCGUAGCGGUGCACUGCGUAGCUAUUAGGAGGAACACCAGUGGCGACGGCGGCUUACUGGACUGUAACUGACGUUGCGGCUCGACCGCGUGGGGAGCAAACAGGAUUAGAUACCCGGGUAGUC
RNAcentral lists this ribosomal RNA (440 nucleotides) under uncultured bacterium. Its description in RNAcentral is "partial 16S ribosomal RNA". It matches the Rfam family "Bacterial small subunit ribosomal RNA", at positions 338 to 795 of the family's 1533-position model. The record is from RNAcentral.